AUGAAGAUGAGUCGACAAUGGAUGUAUGAUGACAGAUGCUCUCCCGAGUUCAUUAAUGGUGUGCAUACUUUUCUGCUUGCCGCUGAGGCAAACAAGCAGGCGGAUGGUUUUAUGCCUUGUCCAUGUGCUGGCUGUAAGAAUGGUCAUAGUUACUCUACGUCAAGAACCAUUCACGUCCACCUAUUUGAGUCCGGUUUCAUGCCUCACUAUAAUGUUUGGACCAAGCACGGAGAAAUAGGGGUUAUGUGGAAGACAAUGAAGAAGAAGAGGACGACGACGGCUAUCCUGCCCAUGGGUUCCCUGAAUACGAUGAUACAACAAUGGGGGAAGAAGCUGAGCCGGCAAUGCAGAAAGAAGCUGAAGAAGAGGCAUCAGAUGAGCCCGCAGAUGAUCUAG
Molecule: ribosomal RNA, 396 nt
Filed under: Triticum aestivum (bread wheat)
Lineage: Eukaryota; Viridiplantae; Streptophyta; Magnoliopsida; Poales; Poaceae
Description: partial small subunit ribosomal RNA
Source: RNAcentral